GCAGUGGUGGUUCAGUGGUGAAAUUUUUACCUUCCACGUGGGAGACCUGGGUUCAAUUUCCCGCCAAUGUG
Molecule: transfer RNA, 71 nt
Filed under: Loxodonta africana (African savanna elephant)
Lineage: Eukaryota; Metazoa; Chordata; Mammalia; Proboscidea; Elephantidae
Rfam family: tRNA
About the family: Transfer RNA (tRNA) molecules are approximately 80 nucleotides in length. Their secondary structure includes four short double-helical elements and three loops (D, anti-codon, and T loops). Further hydrogen bonds mediate the characteristic L-shaped molecular structure. tRNAs have two regions of fundamental functional importance: the anti-codon, which is responsible for specific mRNA codon recognition, and the 3' end, to which the tRNAs corresponding amino acid is attached (by aminoacyl-tRNA synthetases). tRNAs cope with the degeneracy of the genetic code in two manners: having more than one tRNA (with a specific anti-codon) for a particular amino acid; and 'wobble' base-pairing, i.e. permitting non-standard base-pairing at the 3rd anti-codon position.
Source: Rfam by way of RNAcentral